GACAGCUCAGUUGGUAGAGCAUGAGACUCUUAAUCUCAGGGUUAUGGGUUUGAGUCCCAUGCUGGUCA
Podarcis lilfordi (Lilford's wall lizard) is the source of this 68-nucleotide non-coding RNA. Lineage: Eukaryota; Metazoa; Chordata; Lepidosauria; Squamata; Lacertidae. The record is from the annotation of a GenBank genome assembly.